UACAGAUCCGCCAUCUUGUAACCCGAUUCUCUCUGCCUUUCUCUUCCUCCUCCAGCAGGCUCGCACGGGCUGUCCUAGCAGGGGCUACGGCGGCCGACGAGUCCAACGCGCGACGCCUCCACUUCUGCACGCGCUUCCCGGCCCGGCUGUGCUCGGCGUUUUCGCGAGGCGGGGUACUGGACUGUGAUGGGAGGGCCUAAGUGCGAUUUCCUCCUCUCUCGGCCCCGCCUGCUGGCGCGGGAUCUCGGCCAAGUGGGCGGUUCUCGCGAGCUCCGCGUCCCUCUGGUGCCGCGAGAUUCCUGUCUAUGCGGGCUGCGGUAGCUGAGUCGUGGAUCGUGCUUCAUGAGGUGGCUGCUAGCGCUCGGCGUGGGGCGACCCGUGGGACCCAGCUCUGAGGAAAAAGCAAAGCAAACCUGGGAGUGGAUGAUUUAAUGCUUACUGAAAUGGCUCAAAGCAGGAAUCAGGGGGAUGAAGAGAAGACAAGAACAAGAAGGACAGAGAAGAACAAAUUGAUUGCUGACUGCUGAACUUGACUGCGCAAUACCUGAGGACAGGUUUGAUUUAUGUGCCACUAACAUCUGGGUGUAUGCGUGAACACACUGUGAGGAAGCUGGUGAAGAGAAGGAAAAUUAAACAUUUUAGAAGGGAUCUUCUUCACUGCUUGAUGUGAUUUCUUUAAAAACAAAUAUAAGGAGUUGAUAAAUGAUAUGUGCUGAAGCCCCCCAUUUACUUUUGGAGUGGCCUGCUAGAUUUAGGACCAGCAAUGGAGAGUAUGCAACUGAUGAGUAUGCAAUUGAUGAUGUACUUUCUGUUAAGAGCUUUAUGACUCGCUAAUGCAGAAAUGACAGCAGAAUUCCUAUUGUUUUAUGUCAAGAACAUUUGCCAGCAUUUGCAGUGAUAACAGCCCUGAGAGAUACUGCAAUGUGAGAUUCAGAUGUGGCAAGUUUCCUCAGUACAUGCUGGCAGAAGAUCAAGGACUCGGCUGGCUGCUGCAUUUUCUAAGAGAGGCCUCACCAAUGGGAAACCUCCUGAAAUUCAAUAAAACACAGUUGAAUGAAAUCCCCUUUCAAGAAAUUAUUCCAAAGGAGUUGAAUGCAUGCUUCAUCAUACACCUUGAGCUGGAUCUGCUAGUAAAUGAACUGACUAUAUUUUGAUUUAUGGCUUCUCUGACUCGGGUGUAGAAUAUUUAUCCUCUCCUUUACUCUUAGCAGGUUAUCUAAUGCUGAAGGAUAUAUACAUAGACUGAAUUUCUUUGAACUAUCUUCAAUUAUACCGUCAAUUUAAUAGUGUACUUAAAUGACAGUUUUAUCAUUUUGAAAGUUGUACUUUGAGAUCCUCUUAUUGUUUAUUCACACAUCUAUACAAAGUCAUAUAAGAAUUGUUAUACAUUGUUAAGCUUUUUUAUGCUUGUUUUUUCUACUUGUAUGCAUUUAUAUUUGUCUUAAAUAUCAUAAAGUUCAAUGUGAUAAGAAAAUCAUUAAAAUAUACAACUAUGUCAGAAAUUCAGAGCAGAAUAUCCGUCCCUGUGCCGAGGCACCAGAACACCUGGAUCUCCCAGGUGUUUAUGAAAGUCCUCUGUGGUCAGAAUAUCUAUACUGGUAAAAGCAAUGCUUUAGUCACAAAGGAAACUACUCAAGUCAGCCAUGAUUUUCCUGAGAAUCUAGGAAAAAGUACUCUAGGGAGAGGAGUUUUUGUUUUGUUUUUAAACUAUUUAUAAGUUAUCCUUGACAGUUAAGUUCACUAGGUCCUUUAGGCAGUCAGUUAACACAUUCCCUGGGCCCUGGACCCAAGCUCUUUGAGGAUGGGGUCUAUGAUUUACUUAUUUCUGUAUUCCUAGCAUCUAGCAGAGUGCAUGAAACAUGGUAUGUUUUCGACAAAUAUUUUUUCAAUAAAUGGAUGAAUGAAUCAUGGUUGUUUUCUGAGAACUGAUGCCUAGAGUUUAAGGAAAGUAGGAUCAGUGUUAUAUCUCAUGGAACUGAACAUUUACAAGGCAGAGUAACAGGCAAAAUGUAAGAAACACAGCACAACCAGCAAGAUGUCAGCAAAUGGAAAUGGAUAUAAAACAAUGGAGUUGAGAAGUGCAGAAGCUAGGAGGAAUAAGGCAGCAUCAAAGGUGGGAGGCUGAGGAAGGUUUGCCUGAAAAGGUGAGUUUUGAGCUGCAUUUUGAAGAAGGUAAGGUACACAGAUUGGCAGAAAUAGGAGGCUAUUUCUAGGCAGAAGACAAGUCACAAUAGAAAACAAUGAUAAGACAAAAGUGGUUUGCAUGAGAAGAAUGGCAGACAGCUGGAAUCAGCAUGGCUGGAGGGGCUGUGCAUGAGAAGCCUGGUGCCUGUGCAUGGUUGAACACACUCAUAAAAUGGUAGCUCAAGUCAUUAGCAAAAUUCAGGGCCUUAAAGGUGGGAUUAGAGUUUGGAUUGAACACCAUAGGGAGCAGCUCUGAACUAUGUAGACAUAGCCUAAUGUAAACAUUACUAAAGAACAAAAUAAUAGAAUGUGCUUCCUAAAAUAUCACAACACGUAAAUGAACUCAUAUUUCAUCAUUCUAAUGCGUUAAGAAUAGCUAAUGGCAAUAUUUGGUGAUUCCCUCAUUUUUCAAAAAUGUGCCCACACUCUCCCUCCUAGUGAUUUAUACUAUUGUAGGUCCCUCUCUUGCUGACUUUGGCACCAUCAUUGCUUUAAAUAAUCCAGUCUGAUCUUUGCUCACCUCUCACUUCUAGCUUCUUUAUCACACUGACCCCCAGUCUAUGGAACUGCAUAUUUGGUUUUCUCUCAAAGUUAAUGAAGGCAACUGUGUCCAAAUCUUUGUGCUGUCCAUUAAGUCCCUGCUUAGGCCCUCAUUCUCUAUGUUUUUGGCUCCUUCCCUUCAGUCUGACUCAUAUUUCCCAAACCCCUGACUCAUGCUGCUUUCUUUCUCUUAUGCAACAUUUUAAUCUCUGCAAUGUUCUUUCCAUAAUUUGAUAACUUACCACGACAUGGAGUCACUUCAGUGUAUUUUCAUGGGCAAAACUUUCCGUACCUUAAAUGCUGUGGAUUACCACUUAGACUUUUCUAAUUUGUGCUGCUUUAGGUUUAAGGAGUAAUCAGAACUACUUUGGAAUAAGCCACCGUGGACCAGUGAUGAGAAUGCACUGAGAUAGGAGGAAGGGGACUGAAACUAUUUUGAUUCUGUCACUGCCUAUGUGAUCUAGGGCCAUGGUAGCAAUUCUUUUUCUCUCUGUUUCUCCAUCUGUAAAAUAGACUGUCUAUCUUUAAUGAUAAUGCACAGAUAAAAGAAAUGUUCAGAAACAUCAAAAUAUAUCUUUUUGUUUCCAGAUCGUAAACCUUUAGAAUAAAAUAACCACAUCUUUACUAGUUCU
Long non-coding RNA from Diceros bicornis minor, 3356 nucleotides. RefSeq lists it as uncharacterized. The transcript is spliced from 6 exons. Lineage: Eukaryota; Metazoa; Chordata; Mammalia; Perissodactyla; Rhinocerotidae. The record is from RefSeq and is a predicted model, not a curated record.